AUGCUACAGGCUUAACACAUGCAAGUCGAGGGGCAUCAGGAAGAAAGCUUGCUUUCUUUGCUGGCGACCGGCGCACGGGUGAGUAACACGUAUCCAACCUGCCCUUUACUCGGGGAUAGCCUUUCGAAAGAAAGAUUAAUACCCGAUAGCAUAAUGAUUCCGCAUGGUUUCAUUAUUAAAGGAUUCCGGUAAAGGAUGGGGAUGCGUUCCAUUAGGUUGUUGGUGAGGUAACGGCCCACCAAGCCUUCGAUGGAUAGGGGUUCUGAGAGGAAGGUCCCCCACAUUGGAACUGAGACACGGUCCAAACUCCUACGGGAGGCAGCAGUGAGGAAUAUUGGUCAAUGGGCGCUAGCCUGAACCAGCCAAGUAGCGUGAAGGAUGAAGGCUCUAUGGGUCGUAAACUUCUUUUAUAUAAGAAUAAAGUGCAGUAUGUAUAUUGUUUUGUAUGUAUUAUAUGAAUAAGGAUCGGCUAACUCCGUGCCAGCAGCCGCGGUAAUACGGAGGAUCCGAGCGUUAUCCGGAUUUAUUGGGUUUAAAGGGAGCGUAGGUGGACUGGUAAGUCAGUUGUGAAAGUUUGCGGCUCAACCGUAAAAUUGCAGUUGAUACUGUCAGUCUUGAGUACAGUAGAGGUGGGCGGAAUUCGUGGUGUAGCGGUGAAAUGCUUAGAUAUCACGAAGAACUCCGAUUGCGAAGGCAGCUCACUGGACUGCAACUGACACUGAUGCUCGAAAGUGUGGGUAUCAAACAGGAUUAGAUACCCUGGUAGUCCACACAGUAAACGAUGAAUACUCGCUGUUUGCGAUAUACAGUAAGCGGCCAAGCGAAAGCAUUAAGUAUUCCACCUGGGGAGUACGCCGGCAACGGUGAAACUCAAAGGAAUUGACGGGGGCCCGCACAAGCGGAGGAACAUGUGGUUUAAUUCGAUGAUACGCGAGGAACCUUACCCGGGCUUAAAUUGCAGUGGAAUGAUGUGGAAACAUGUCAGUGAGCAAUCACCGCUGUGAAGGUGCUGCAUGGUUGUCGUCAGCUCGUGCCGUGAGGUGUCGGCUUAAGUGCCAUAACGAGCGCAACCCUUAUCUUUAGUUACUAACAGGUUAUGCUGAGGACUCUAGAGAGACUGCCGUCGUAAGAUGUGAGGAAGGUGGGGAUGACGUCAAAUCAGCACGGCCCUUACGUCCGGGGCUACACACGUGUUACAAUGGGGGGUACAGAAGGCAGCUAGCGGGUGACCGUAUGCUAAUCCCAAAAUCCUCUCUCAGUUCGGAUCGAAGUCUGCAACCCGACUUCGUGAAGCUGGAUUCGCUAGUAAUCGCGCAUCAGCCACGGCGCGGUGAAUACGUUCCCGGGCCUUGUACACACCGCCCGUCAAGCCAUGGGAGCCGGGGGUACCUGAAGUACGUAACCGCAAGGAUCGUCCUAGGGUAAAACUGGUGACUGGGGCUA
RNAcentral lists this ribosomal RNA (1443 nucleotides) under uncultured organism. Its description in RNAcentral is "SSU rRNA". It matches the Rfam family "Bacterial small subunit ribosomal RNA". The record is from RNAcentral.